Molecule: small nuclear RNA, 107 nt
Organism: Otolemur garnettii (small-eared galago)
Lineage: Eukaryota; Metazoa; Chordata; Mammalia; Primates; Galagidae
Source: Ensembl
AUGCUCGCUUGGACAGCACAUAUACUAAAAUUGGAGCAAUACAGAGAAGAUUAGCAUGGCACCUGCACAAGGAGGACAUGCAAAUUCUUGAAACGUUACAUAUUCCA